RNAcentral lists this ribosomal RNA (486 nucleotides) under uncultured bacterium. Its description in RNAcentral is "bacterial SSU rRNA". It matches the Rfam family "Bacterial small subunit ribosomal RNA", at positions 959 to 1446 of the family's 1533-position model. The record is from RNAcentral.
ACGCGAAGAACCUUACCAGCUCUUGACAUCUUCAGACAACNCNAGAGAUAGAGCGUUCCCUUCGGGGACAGAAUGACAGGUGGUGCAUGGUUGUCGUCAGCUCGUGUCGUGAGAUGUUGGGUUAAGUCCCGUAACGAGCGCAACCCUUGUUGUUAGUUGCCAGCAUUAAGUUGGGCACUUUAACGAGACUGCCGGUGAUAAACCGGAGGAAGGCGGGGAUGACGUCAAAUCAUCAUGCCCCUUAUGAGCUGGGCUACACACGUGCUACAAUGGAUGGUACAACGAGCAGCGAUCCCGCAAGGGCUAGCUAAUCUUUCAAAGCCAUUCUCAGUUCGGAUUGCACUCUGCAACUCGAGUGCAUGAAGUCGGAAUCGCUAGUAAUCGCGAAUCAGAAUGUCGCGGUGAAUCCGUUCCCGGGUCUUGUACACACCGCCCGUCACACCACGAGAGUUUGAAACACCCGAAGUCGGCCGGCCAACCCUAUGG